Molecule: long non-coding RNA, 209 nt
Filed under: Mytilus galloprovincialis (Mediterranean mussel)
Lineage: Eukaryota; Metazoa; Mollusca; Bivalvia; Mytilida; Mytilidae
Source: RNAcentral
UUGGGUCUUUUUUCAUAUUUAGUGAAAUUUGGUCACAGAUUUGACUCUUGUAACUUCUUUCUUCUUGUUUACACGUUCUUCUUAAUUUAGAUUUGAAUAAGUAAAAUGAUUUUCUAUAGGAUCCAUUGUCUGGAAACUUAUUUACAAGUAAACAAUAUUUUUUAACUGUAGUAUGGAGGUCAUGACAAGAGUCUGAGAACCAUGUUUUU